Molecule: ribosomal RNA, 229 nt
Filed under: uncultured bacterium
Lineage: Bacteria
Description: partial 16S ribosomal RNA
Rfam family: Bacterial small subunit ribosomal RNA
Source: RNAcentral
UACGUAGGCGGUCUAAUAAGUCAGUGGUGAAAUCCUGCGGCUCAACCGUAGAACUGCCAUUGAUACUGUUAAACUUGAAUAUAGUUGAGGUAGGCGGAAUGUGUUGUGUAGCGGUGAAAUGCUUAGAUAUAACACAGAACACCGAUUGCGAAGGCAGCUUACUAGACUAUUAUUGACGCUGAGGUACGAAAGCGUGGGGAGCGAACAGGAUUAGAUACCCUGGUAGUCC